ACUUACCCAUGAUAUUACAGCGCUUAAUUAUCACUGGAUGUAUUAGCCAUCAAGAUGCUACCCAACUAUCCCCAUCAGAUUAAGCAGUGAUAAAUCAUAUAAGAAUCUCAGACCUAAUUUGUUACGAGUAGUCGGGUAAGCAAUCUCUGCGCAACUAUCAAUGCUUAAAAUUAGGAGUGUAAAUGUAAUCUUGGAUGGGAUGCGCAAUAUCUCUUACCCAUAUAAAUAUCUAAGACCAUCCUCUCAGCCCUUUAAUCACGGGGUUCUAUCAUCGACCACUGUGCGCAGAGUAGGCAAUAAAAUCGCAACA
This 310-nucleotide unclassified non-coding RNA is filed under the name Moritella viscosa. RNAcentral's name for it is "putative sRNA". The record is from RNAcentral. Lineage: Bacteria; Pseudomonadati; Pseudomonadota; Gammaproteobacteria; Alteromonadales; Moritellaceae.